RNAcentral lists this ribosomal RNA (371 nucleotides) under Pterocladiella bartlettii. Its description in RNAcentral is "bacterial LSU rRNA". It matches the Rfam family "Bacterial large subunit ribosomal RNA", at positions 2098 to 2466 of the family's 2925-position model. The record is from RNAcentral. Lineage: Eukaryota; Rhodophyta; Florideophyceae; Gelidiales; Pterocladiaceae.
GCUUUACUGUAUCCUGAGAUUGAAUUUGGGUUUAUUAUGCGCAGUAUAGGUGGGAGGCUUAGAUAUUACACUUGAGGGUGUUUUGGAGCCGAUAGUGAGAUACCACUCUUAAUAAACUAAGAUUCUAACCUUGAUAGCCGUAAUCCGGCCAAUGGACAGUCUCAGGUGGGCAGUUUGACUGGGGCGGUCGCCUCCUAAAAGGUAACGGAGGCGUGCAAAGGUUUCUUCAGGCUGGUCGGAAAUCAGUCGUAGAGUAUAAAGGCAUAAAGAAGCUUGACUGCGAGACUUACAAGUCGAGCAGAGACGAAAGUCGGCCUUAGUGAUCCGGCAGUGCUGAGUGGAAAGGCUGUCGCUCAACGGAUAAAAGUUAC